CUGGCUUUUGAGUUGGGGUCUUCUAGGCCGAUCUCCACCCUUUGUAUAACUACCAUGUUGCUUUGGCGGGCCCGUCUUUAACCGGACCGCCGGGGGUCUUUUGACCUCUGGCCAGUGCUCGUCAGUAGCCUACACAAAAACUCUUUUAACCAUGUUAAAUCUGAAACUAGUUAAAUAAACUAAAACUUUCAACAACGGAUCUCUUGGUUCUGGCAUCGAUGAAGAACGCAGCGAAAUGCGAUAAGUAAUGCGAAUUGCAGAAUUCAGUGAGUCAUCGAAUCUUUGAACGCACAUUGCGCCCUUUAGUAUUCUGAAGGGCAUGCCUGUUCGAGCGUCAUUAUCACUAAUCAAGCCCGGCUUGCUGUUGGACCUCUUGUCGUUAAAAGACAGUUCCUAAAGAUAAUGACGGCGUCAGUUGGACCCUAGAUGCAACGAGCUUUAACUAGCACGCAUUUUAGUUGGCCCUUUUGACCCGGUCUUUUUAUAACCAUUUUCUAAGGUUGACCUCGGAUCAGGUAGGAAUACCCGCUGAACUUAAGCAUAUCAA
RNAcentral lists this ribosomal RNA (547 nucleotides) under fungal sp. RNAcentral describes it as "eukaryotic LSU rRNA". The stretch from base 184 to 337 matches the Rfam family "5.8S ribosomal RNA". Lineage: Eukaryota; Fungi. The record is from RNAcentral.